Molecule: long non-coding RNA, 795 nt
Organism: Salvelinus fontinalis (brook trout)
Lineage: Eukaryota; Metazoa; Chordata; Actinopteri; Salmoniformes; Salmonidae
Exons: 3
Source: RefSeq, a predicted model, not a curated record
AGCGAUGUGGUACAGAGCUCAAUUUAGCCUCUGCCCCGCUAGACCACAUUUUCGGAUCAAGCAUAAAUUGGCUUUUAGCCACGGCCUCGCGAGCGUUACAGGUGCGCGCCAACAGGUGAUUUUGAUUCGAUUGUCACAGAACGCCUCUUCUCUUUUUAUUUUUAUGAAUGGUUUAGUCAACAUAAUGUUGCAAUUUGGCUAGUUUAGGUUUCAACACAACAAGAAAAAUGGAUCUCUCAAAGAUUUCCGUUGCGAAGAGGAGAAACAGAAAUGCAACCAAAGGGAAAAAAGUUACUCACAAGUCAAAUGUUUCACCGGCGAUCAGUAGACUCAUUCAAGACACUUCAAAUCAUAUUCCAUUGGGACGACAACUUCAUAGGACACCGCCAACGUCAGAGUUGAAAAUAACUUGGCCUUUGAGCUUUGAAAUACAAACGAUUGAAACCACCGCUGGGCAAGAACCCUUGUCUCCCGCGCUAAAUAUGACCAUGGACCUUUACACAAUCGAGCCUGCAGAAACAGAAACGUGCCGACGGUCUCGCAUCACUUCAAGCACACUCUGUUCAGGCAGUGUGCUGGAAGAGGACCCCUACUCAUUGAUAAGAGGCAUGCAGGGCUAUGAGGUUACCCCGGCAGACCUUGUAUUCCUGAAGAGAGCCAGGCAGGAGAGGCAGAUCAACGCCUUACAGGUGAAAAUCCAUAUAUCUGAUGGUGAAAACACCCACUUGAUUAUUUUAUUGACUGAUGCUCAUGGUACCUCAAAUUGAAAUUACGCAGCCAUUUUGUGCUGCUUUG